GACGAACGCUGGCGGCGUGCCUAAUACAUGCAAGUCGAGCGGACAGACGGUAGCUUGCUCCCUUAUGUUAGCGGCGGACGGGUGAGUAACACGUGGGUAACCUGCCUGUAAGACUGGGAUAACUUCGGGAAACCGGGGCUAAUACCGGAUGGUUGUCUGAACCGCAUGGUUCAGACAGAAAAGUUGGCUUCGGCUACCACUUACAGGUGGACCCGCGGCGGGUUAGCUAGGUGGUGAGGUAACGGCUCAUCAAGGGAACGAUGCGUAGCCGACGUGAGAGGGUGGUCGGCCAGACUGGGAGUGAGACACGGCCCAGAGUGCUACAGGAGGCAGCAGUAGGGCAUCGUCCGCCAUGGGUGAAAGACAGAGGGAGAAGCGCCGAGUGAGGGAUGAAGGAUGUCGGAUCGUGGAGCUCGGUUGUUAGGGAAGAACAAGUGCCGGUCAAAGAGGGCGGCACCGUGACGGUAACUAGCCAGAAAGCCACGGCUAACUACGUG
This 497-nucleotide ribosomal RNA is filed under the name uncultured bacterium. Its description in RNAcentral is "partial 16S ribosomal RNA". It matches the Rfam family "Bacterial small subunit ribosomal RNA", at positions 28 to 507 of the family's 1533-position model. The record is from RNAcentral.